Molecule: ribosomal RNA, 253 nt
Filed under: uncultured bacterium
Lineage: Bacteria
Description: partial 16S ribosomal RNA
Rfam family: Bacterial small subunit ribosomal RNA
Source: RNAcentral
UACAGAGGGUGCUAACGUUGUUCGGAAUCACUGGGCAUAAAGCGCACGUAGGCGGCUUGGUAAGUGCGGUGUGAAAGCCCCCGGCCUAACCGGGGAACUGCAUCGCAGACUGCCAGGCUCGAGAGCGGGAGGGGAGACUGGAACUCCUGGUGGAGCGGUGAAAUGCGUAGAUAUCAGGAAGAACACCCGUGGCGAAAGCGGCUCUCUGGAACGGUACUGACGCUGAGACGCGAAAGCGUGGGGAGCGAACAGG